RNAcentral lists this ribosomal RNA (254 nucleotides) under uncultured bacterium. Its description in RNAcentral is "partial 16S ribosomal RNA". It matches the Rfam family "Bacterial small subunit ribosomal RNA", at positions 524 to 776 of the family's 1533-position model. The record is from RNAcentral.
UACGGGGGGAGCAAGCGUUGUUCGGAUUUACUGGGCGUAAAGGGCGCGUAGGCGGCCACAACAAGUCACUUGUGAAAGCCCUCGGCUCAACCGGGGAAGUGCACCCGAAACUGCAAAGCUAGAGUCUCGGAGAGGAUCGUGGAAUUCUCGGUGUAGAGGUGAAAUUCGUAGAUAUCGAGAGGAACACCGGUGGCGAAGGCGGCGAUCUGGACGAUGACUGACGCUGAGACGCGAAAGCGUGGGGAGCAAACAGG